UCAACCCUGGUUUAGUCACUUU
RNAcentral lists this small nuclear RNA (22 nucleotides) under Arabidopsis thaliana (thale cress). Its description in RNAcentral is "snRNA_11189". Lineage: Eukaryota; Viridiplantae; Streptophyta; Magnoliopsida; Brassicales; Brassicaceae. The record is from RNAcentral.